CGUAGGGGUAACCUGCGGAGGGAUCAUUACCGAGUUUACAACUCCCAAACCCAAUGUGAACGUUACCAAACUGUUGCCUCGGCGGGAUCUCUGCCCCGGGUGCGUCGCAGCCCCGGACCAAGGCGCCCGCCGGAGGACCAACCAAAACUCUUAUUGUAUACCCCCUCGCGGGUUUUUUUAUAAUCUGAGCCUUCUCGGCGCCUCUCGUAGGCGUUUCGAAAAUGAAUCAAAACUUUCAACAACGGAUCUCUUGGUUCUGGCAUCGAUGAAGAACGCAGCGAAAUGCGAUAAGUAAUGUGAAUUGCAGAAUUCAGUGAAUCAUCGAAUCUUUGAACGCACAUUGCGCCCGCCAGUAUUCUGGCGGGCAUGCCUGUCCGAGCGUCAUUUCAACCCUCGAACCCCUCCGGGGGGUCGGCGUUGGGGAUCGGCCCUCCCUUAGCGGGGUGGCCGUCUCCGAAAUACAGUGGCGGUCUCGCCGCAGCCUCUCCUGCGCAGUAGUUUGCACACUCGCAUCGGGAGCGCGGCGCGUCCACAGCCGUUAAACACCCAACUUCUGAAAUGUGACCUCGGAUCAGGUAGAAAUGCCCCA
This 589-nucleotide ribosomal RNA is filed under the name Trichoderma harzianum. RNAcentral describes it as "eukaryotic LSU rRNA". The stretch from base 231 to 384 matches the Rfam family "5.8S ribosomal RNA". The record is from RNAcentral. Lineage: Eukaryota; Fungi; Ascomycota; Sordariomycetes; Hypocreales; Hypocreaceae.